CGGGGGGAGCAAGCGUUGUUCGGAUUACUGGGCGUAAAGGGCGCGUAGGCGGCCACCGCAAGUCGACUGUGAAAUCUCCGGGCUUAACCCGGAAAGGUCAGCCGAUACUGCGGGGCUAGGGUGCAGAAGGGGCAACUGGAAUUCUCGGUGUAGCGGUGAAAUGCGUAGGUAUCGAGAGGAACACCUGCGGCGAAGGCGGGUUGCUGGGCUGACACUGACGCUGAUGCGCGAAAGCUAGGGGAGCGAACGGGAUUAGAUACCCCGGUAGUCCUAGCCUUAAACGAUGAAUGCUUGGUGUCUGGGGUUUUAUAGUCCCCGGGUGCCGUCGCUAACGCUUUAAGCAUUCCGCCUGGGGAGUACGGUCGCAAGACUG
This 373-nucleotide ribosomal RNA is filed under the name uncultured organism. RNAcentral's name for it is "bacterial SSU rRNA". It matches the Rfam family "Bacterial small subunit ribosomal RNA", at positions 526 to 896 of the family's 1533-position model. The record is from RNAcentral.